This 329-nucleotide unclassified non-coding RNA is filed under the name uncultured fungus. RNAcentral's name for it is "sequence contains ITS1". The stretch from base 1 to 105 matches the Rfam family "5.8S ribosomal RNA", at positions 50 to 154 of the family's 154-position model. The record is from RNAcentral. Lineage: Eukaryota; Fungi.
CAAAUGCGAUAACUAGUGUGAACUGCAGAUAUUUUGAACAUUGAGACUUCGAAUGCACAUUGCGCCGUUGGAGUCACAUCCUACGGCACAUCUGGCUCAGGGUCGUCUUCCAAAACGAAUGCCCAUCGUUUGUGGAGCGCCAGUUCACUUUGCGGGCUGCUGCUGCCCUUGUACUAAAGUGUCCCAGUGUCCUAUGUCAAUUCGAGCCGACGCGGGUUGGGCUCGGUGUGGGUUAGUCGAACGCUUCUACGACUACCACACGUCUGACUACCAACCCGUGCCGCUCUCUCAGCGACCUGAGCUCAGGUGUGAGUACCUGCUGAACUUAA